Molecule: ribosomal RNA, 253 nt
Filed under: uncultured bacterium
Lineage: Bacteria
Description: partial 16S ribosomal RNA
Rfam family: Bacterial small subunit ribosomal RNA
Source: RNAcentral
UACGAAGGGUGCAAGCGUUACUCGGAAUUACUGGGCGUAAAGCGUGCGUAGGUGGUUCGUUAAGUCUGAUGUGAAAGCCCUGGGCUCAACCUGGGAAUGGCAUUGGAAACUGGCGACCUAGAGUGCGGUAGAGGGCAGUGGAAUUCCCGGUGUAGCAGUGAAAUGCGUAGAGAUCGGGAGGAACAUCUGUGGCGAAGGCGACUGCCUGGACCAGCACUGACACUGAGGCACGAAGGCGUGGGGAGCGAACGGG